UUUUUGUUUUUUCAUUAUUUUUUAUGUUGUCUUUAAAGUCCCUAUUGUCCUUGUUGUCAUUGUUGUCGUUGUCGUCGUCCUCGUCGUCGUUAUUGUUGUCGUUGAUGUCUCCGUUGUCAUCGGUGUUGUUGUUGUCGUCGUUGAUGUUGUUCUACCAGUUGUCAUUCUUGUCGUUGAUCUCGUCGUUCUCGUUGCCGUUCUUGUUUUUGUUGUUGUUGUUGUUGUUGUUGCAAUUGUCGUCGUCGUCAUCGUUGUUGUUAUUGUUGUUGUUCUUGUUCUUGUUGUCGUUGUUGUUGUUGUUGUGGUCCUUUUUGUUGAUGUGGAUGUUGUUGUUCUUGUUGUUGUUGUUGUUGUUGUUGUUGUUGUU
RNAcentral lists this long non-coding RNA (367 nucleotides) under Hordeum vulgare. Its description in RNAcentral is "long non-coding RNA (HVUL_LNC020965)". The record is from RNAcentral. Lineage: Eukaryota; Viridiplantae; Streptophyta; Magnoliopsida; Poales; Poaceae.